Molecule: RNA transcript, 2498 nt
Organism: Solanum dulcamara
Lineage: Eukaryota; Viridiplantae; Streptophyta; Magnoliopsida; Solanales; Solanaceae
Gene name: beclin-1-like protein
Exons: 11
Source: RefSeq, a predicted model, not a curated record
CUGCCCAACGCACUCAACUUCUUCCUUUUCCAAAUUUUCCAUCAAAUUCAUAUACUCAAUUUCAAUACUGGAUAUAGAAAUUCGUCGAUCUCCAUGGUGAAAAAUAGCAGCAGCGCUACGCCGGAUAAGGGUCGGACUUUACCCGUUGACCCGAAUCUUCCCCGGUACAUCUGUCAGAACUGCCACAAUCCCCUAUGCAUCGCCGGCGUCGAUAAUUAUGCCGACAAGUUCUUCCCGGAUUCUUCUACUCGCUCCGGGAUGCAGGCCUCUUCAAUACAUGGAGCUGGUAGUGUUAUAGGGUCGAGCCGAAUGGAACAUUCAUAUGUUAUGUUGCCAAAGCAAAGAAAUCAGGGAGCAGGGAUUCCGCCUCGAGGACGAGGAGGGUCUGCACAGCCAGAUGCAAGCCAUUUUGGGAGGGCCAUGGAAGAAUCAUUUGUGGUUUUGCCUCCACCAGCUGCUUCAGUGUAUAAGUGUGAGCCUACAUCUGAUGGAGCUGGUACGAAUCUUCCAUCACCAGAUGGUGGACCUCCAAAUGCUCCCAUGCAGACAAACAAUUCUGGGUUUCACUCCACCAUCACUGUCCUAAAGCGUGCAUUUGAUAUUGCCACAACACAGACCCAGAUCGAGCAACCCCUGUGUCUUGAAUGCAUGAGGGUGCUGUCUGAUAAACUUGAUAAGGAGGUUGAAGAUGUUAACAGGGACAUACAAGCCUAUGAAGCUUGCCUUCAGCAAUUGGAGGGAGAAGCAAGAAAUGUUCUUAGCGAGGCUGAUUUUCUGAAGGAGAAAUUGAAGAUAGAAGAAGAAGAGCAAAAACUUGAAACAGCAAUAGAAGAAACAGAGAAGCAAUGUGCUGUAGUCACUGCCGAACUGAAGGAACUCGAGAUGAAGUCUAGCCGUUUCAAGGAGUUGGAGGAGCGGUACUGGCACGAAUUCAAUAACUUUCAGUUUCAAUUGAUAUCUCAUCAGGAAGAGAGAGAUGCAAUUUUAGCUAAGACAGAAGUUUCACAAGCUCAUUUAGAGCUGCUAAAGCGGACCAAUGUGCUCAAUGAUGCAUUUCCAAUCUGGUAUGACGGUGAAUUUGGAACGAUUAACAACUUUCGUCUUGGAAGACUUCCUAAAAUUCCGGUUGAGUGGGACGAGAUAAAUGCAGCCUGGGGUCAAGCAUGCCUUCUUCUCCAUACAAUGGCUCAACAUUUCCGUCCAAAGUUUCAAUAUCGGAUAAAAAUUCUUCCUAUGGGAAGUUAUCCUCGGAUCAUUGACACCAAUAAUACUACUUAUGAACUAUUUGGCCCAGUAAAUCUCUUCUGGAGCACACGGUAUGACAAAGCAAUGACAUUGUUCUUGACCUGCCUAAAGGAGUUCUCCGAGUUUGCAAAUUCAAAAGAUAGGGAAAACAAUAUUCGUCCUGAGAAAUGUUUUAAGCUUCCUUACAAGAUUGAAAAUGACAAAGUUGAAAGUUACUCCAUAACCCAGAGCUUUAAUAAACAAGAAAAUUGGACCAAAGCUCUCAAGUACACACUCUGCAAUUUGAAGUGGGUGCUCUACUGGUUUGUUGGUAACACAAAUUUCCAGCCACUCUCCACAACGGUCUCCUCACAAGCUGAAGUUCCAGCUGCAGCCGGAUCACUGUACAGCAAACAACCAACUAAUACCAAGUUUCAAUCUUGAAGUUCUUGAAUCACAAAUACCAACUUCUCCUCUCGCACUAAUCAUGCUGAAUAGGCCUCCUAGCCUCUAUGCUGCAAGUUGGUCCUAAGCCAGAACUGCAAUAGAGUGUGGCAAUUCAGAAUCAAAGAGUACUCACAUCUAUCCCUUUAGAUCAGUUAGAGACCUCAAACAAAAGGGCAUUUUCUUCAGAUUAAGCAACACAAAUGCUCUUCAGGCAAUCAAAUUCAAAUCCUAUGUUUUAUUCGGAAAACUUCAUCUACCAAAGGAACAUAUCAGCAUGUAUACCAAGGUAACUUACGCGAACAUGAUUGCUUAUGAGACGAAUCCAAACAAAGAAACUCGAUAUGAGGCUACGUCUUAUGUGAACUUCAUGAAGUCACUUGUAGUAUGUACAGAGGAUGUCAAAGAACUACGAGAGGUAGGAGUAAUAUGUAACCACAUGGAAACAGAUGAAGAAGCAGCUAAAGUGUUCCAAGACGUUAUGACUUAUGAUGUGGUCUCUCAUGGUGGUACUCUUGUUGAUGUUAUAAAGGAAAUGCAAUGUCAUGUUAGCAGCAGAUGGAAAACGUCGAUUGCAGAGUGCUACUGGACUUAUUUUAGUACUCCAUGGUCAGAUAUCGCGCUGCUUGUAGCAAUUACACUACUUUGCUCAACUGUUAUGCAAACACAUUAUACUAUGUAUACACCCAGUGUGAGUCAGUUUUUACCGUUUAUGUUUAUCCUCUUUUCCUGGUCAUACCUAAAUAAAAUGUAAUUUGUUUCAUUUUAGGCUUCCUUAAUGUGACAACUUGUUUAACAAGUUUUGAAAUCCAUGUAUGGCCUUAAAAUUU